CAGUAGCCGCGGUAAUACGUAGGUGGCAAGCGUUGUCCGGAAUUAUUGGGCGUAAAGGGCUCGCAGGCGGUUUCUUAAGUCUGAUGUGAAAGCCCCCGGCUCAACCGGGGAGGGUCAUUGGAAACUGGGAAACUUGAGUGCAGAGGAGGAGAGUGGAAUUCCACGUGUAGCGGUGAAAUGCGUAGAGAUGUGGAGGAACACCAGUGGCGAAGGCGACUCUCUGGUCUGUAACUGACGCUGAGGAGCGAAAGCGUGGGGAGCGAACAGGAUUAGAUACCCGAGUAGUCCCUGUCUCUUAUAC
This 301-nucleotide ribosomal RNA is filed under the name uncultured bacterium. RNAcentral describes it as "partial 16S ribosomal RNA". It matches the Rfam family "Bacterial small subunit ribosomal RNA", at positions 509 to 807 of the family's 1533-position model. The record is from RNAcentral.